This is a long non-coding RNA of Pundamilia nyererei, 237 nucleotides long. RefSeq lists it as uncharacterized. Lineage: Eukaryota; Metazoa; Chordata; Actinopteri; Cichliformes; Cichlidae. The transcript is spliced from 3 exons. The record is from RefSeq and is a predicted model, not a curated record.
GGUUCUUCUUCAUUCAUUGUCCUGCAGCAGAUGAAGAACUUUGGAAGAAUAGCUGUGUGUGGAAGUAUCUCCACCUACAAUGACAGUGAACCCCAGACAGGGCCGUACUCCUAUUUCACUGUGAUCCUGAAACAGCUGAAGAUGGAGGGCUUCAUAUACAGCAGGUGGCAGCACAAGAACCAUGAGACCCUCAAGAGACUGUUGGCGUGGGUGAAAGAGGGCAAACUGCAGUGUCGG